Molecule: non-coding RNA, 238 nt
Filed under: Bacillus sp. (in: firmicutes)
Lineage: Bacteria; Bacillati; Bacillota; Bacilli; Caryophanales; Bacillaceae
Also listed under: 1 other name
Description: Bacillus sp. T-box sequence
Rfam family: T-box leader
About the family: Uncharged tRNA acts as the effector for transcription antitermination of genes in the T-box leader family.
Source: RNAcentral
UAAAAGAUGAUGACGGAGAAAAGUAUCUAGUUUAACACCAUUUAGGGAGAAAGUGCCUCGACUGAAAGCACUUUUAUGGAAAAGACUGGAGAAGUUCACCUCCCGAGUCAGCAUCGGGACCAUUUCAAAAAGAAAUGUAAAGAUGUCUCGGCAUAUGCCGUUAUUCGAAUGAAGCGAACACUGAUUUUACAUACAGUGUUUACAAGGGUGGUACCGCGACUAUAACCUCGUCCCUUUU